CCUGGGGGCGGCAGCAGGGGAUAAUAUUCCACAAUGGGAAAUACCAUGAUGCAGCGACGCCGGAAAGAGAAGAUCUUUUGAUGAUAAAAAUGUUUUUCGGGGAGAACAAUAAUGACGUNCCAACGNNANGCCNNAUUUNC
Molecule: ribosomal RNA, 140 nt
Filed under: bacterium
Lineage: Bacteria
Description: partial 16S ribosomal RNA
Source: RNAcentral